UUGGUUUUUUCACGACUUCUGCCAAGGUCUGGGCUGUGGCCUUGCAUUUUGAAGAGCUCUGCAUGCAAGGAAAGAAGCGCCACAAGCUUCGGGCGCAGUGUAUGGAUGCACGUCGAGCGGCAGAAUUUAGCUAUCUCUACUGUCAAGAGGAGGAAGAGCUGAAAACUGGGUCUGGAGAAGUUCACUCGAGGAGCAGCACAUGCGUACAUCAGCGCCUUUCCAAGGCCAGUGACCCCAAGUAAAAUUGAUACUGAAUUGUGUCAGCACCUGAUGGUGGUAUGACCUAUUCCUAAACUAGCCUACUUUGCCUGUUAGUGAACAGUGGAGCAGAAUACUACCAAUUCUGUCACAAGCCGUGGCAAGAUAUGGGAUCGUACCGUUGUGCUGAAGGUGUGCGAGCUGGGCUGCAAGGCGGUUGCUGCAGUAGAUCGCGAUGCGGCCCAAGUGAAUGCAUGAUUCACUGUCUGGAUACCAUGUUAUUGGAUAUGACUGCGCUGUUAGACAUAUUAUUCUGACCUGACAAGUACUGGGUGAAAGAUGAGGAGGCACCGACGUGCAGAUACUGCGGUGAUGAGUUUACACUGACCAAUCGGCGUCAUCACUGUCGUCUGUGCGGCAACAUAUUUCAUGGUGGGGAGUGCGCACAGAAGGCGGGCCAGUUUGAGGUGUGGGUGUGCAGGUUCUGCUUCGAGUACCACACUAUCUACAAGGGCCCCAUGCAGGGUGGUUGUGUUAUAACAAAGUACACUAAGGAUCUGGAGAGGAACCACCAGAGACACUUCUGGCUCUCCAGUGACGGCCGAGAGCUCAUCUGGAAGGAAGUGGAGUCGCGCUCCCGUCCAAGCAACAUAACAGCUGCACCAAAGAAGAAAAUCAUCACAACUCCCACUGUGCUUGUGGAUGAGAAGACGGGGAUUCGUCUGGGCACCUUCAUCUAUAUGUUAUUAGGUGAGGGUGAGCCUCAGAAACGGUGGUUGGAUCGAGCGAGCUGGACAGACAUAUACCUGCUCUACGUAAGCUGGAAAUCCGACGUGACUGUACAGCUCCAGGGGCACGUCUCAGAAACGUUUCGAUACGUAUUCUAUGCUAAGUCGACAUGGACUUCGUCGCGUAACCACAUGGCAAAGCUUGGACAUCAGUGGGAACUUGAGCAGAAAUGGCGUUUCGAGUACUUUGUCAUUUUUGACGAGGACGUACUACUGGGGUAUCGGGCGCCGGAGAUCCCCACGAAAGUAGUGCUGGAUUUCCCGAAUGAUGGCAGCAUUGCACAAGUUCAACGAAGUUCUUCUCCGAGAUCGGCCCAUGAAAGCGGGAGUCAGCUUCAACGAAUUUGACUGGAACAAGAAAAAUCUGCGUUGCCAGAGCCAAUGUCAGGCGGACAACUUGGUUCUACUGUUCAUAACCUCCGCUUGGCUGACGUAACGCGGAUACAAGCCAGGGGUCCACCAGGACUGGAAACAGGUUACGGCCACUGUUAUGCGUUUCAAGUCAUCACCGGCGAACGAGCAUUUGUGCUGGAAGCUGCCAACGUCAAGGAUUAUAACAUCUGGACGGAAGGACUCAAGUGUGCUGUGUACGUCAGCCAAGCGCACCAAAGCCUUCAGGGGCGGCAGCUGGAAGAUCGUGCAAGACGACACGCCAAGCGCUCGCGUGACAACCAUCGGCAGUUGAUAGCGGAUCGAGUGCGAGCGCGCCAAAAACGAAUGAAGAAGUCUGGCUAGAUACUAGAUAGCAUAGCCGAACAUGGUCAGGACCUUCUCACAGGUGCAUGUUGAAGGAUUUCGGUCUUCCCAAUGUGAGUAACCGCUAUUCGGUCUUGUAUGAAUUAGGGUGUAGGAAACGUUCCUGGCGAGUCAAUCGACUCGGUUUUCAUUCGAUACAAGUUGAUGGUAGAGAAUCCUAUGGCUUGAUACACACCAGUGACAACAGCAGUGUCUUUCUUGACUCUUGAGAUGUACCGGUCACAUGCUCAUGCUCCUCUGCAUAAAAAUGAGCUUAUAAGUUAAAAUUGGACAGAGUUUACGAAGUAUUAGGGAGUUUGCGCUGUUGCAAUGCUUCGAGUUGAUUUCUUGGAUCCAUCACAGUAACAGCAUUGUUAGCAUUUCAAAGUAAAUUCAUAGUCCGUUCCCCUUGCAUAUUCAGCUCGGUCGUGGUAGUCUUAGGGAAGUGGGUUUGAUUACUUCACCAUAUUGCACUAGACUUUCCUGAACAAUGGUGAUAAAAUAAUAAUUUAAUGAUAAUCGGCCUAUAUCUAUAUCUUUUCAUUAAAAUGCAUUUGCUGGUUAAGUUUGUAUUCAUUGCAACCACAAUUUUAGUUGUAACAUUUUAGCCCGUAAUAAUAUUUUGCCUUUGAUACCAAGCCCGUAAUAAUAUUUUGCCCUUGAUACCAAG
Molecule: RNA transcript, 2391 nt
Organism: Sycon ciliatum
Lineage: Eukaryota; Metazoa; Porifera; Calcarea; Leucosolenida; Sycettidae
Exons: 6
Source: RefSeq, a predicted model, not a curated record